UGGGGAAUCUUGCGCAAUGGGCGAAAGCCUGACGCAGCCAUGCCGCGUGGAUGAUGAAGGUCUUAGGAUUGUAAAAUCCUUUCAGCGGGGACGAUAAUGACGGUACCCGCAGAAGAAGCCCCGGCUAACUUCGUGCCAGCAGCCGCGGUAAUACGAAGGGGGCUAGCGUUGCUCGGAAUUACUGGGCGUAAAGGGAGCGUAGGCGGAUGUUUAAGUUGGGGGUGAAAGCCCAGGGCUCAACCCUGGAACUGCCUUCAAUACUGGACAUCUAGAGUAUGGGAGAGGUGUGUGGAACUCCGAGUGUAGAGGUGAAAUUCGUAGAUAUUCGGAAGAACACCAGUGGCGAAGGCGACACACUGGCCCAUUACUGACGCUGAGGCUCGAAAGCGUGGGGAGCAAACAGG
RNAcentral lists this ribosomal RNA (404 nucleotides) under uncultured bacterium. RNAcentral describes it as "bacterial SSU rRNA". It matches the Rfam family "Bacterial small subunit ribosomal RNA", at positions 355 to 776 of the family's 1533-position model. The record is from RNAcentral.